AGCGAACGCUGGCGGCAGGCUUAACACAUGCAAGUCGAACGGGCAUAGCAAUAUGUCAGUGGCAGACGGGUGAGUAACGCGUGGGAACGUACCUUUUGGUUCGGAACAACACAGGGAAACUUGUGCUAAUACCGGAUAAGCCCUUACGGGGAAAGAUUUAUCGCCGAAAGAUCGGCUCGCGUCUGAUUAGCUAGUUGGUAGGGUAAUGGCCUACCAAGGCGACGAUCAGUAGCUGGUCUGAGAGGAUGAUCAGCCACAUUGGGACUGAGACACGGCCCAAACUCCUACGGGAGGCAGCAGAGGGGAAUAUUGGACAAUGGGCGAAAGCCUGAUCCAGCCAUGCCGCGUGAGUGAUGAAGGCGGUAGGGUUGUAAAGCUCUUUUGUGCGGGAAGAUAAUGACGGUACCGCAAGAAUAAGCCCCGGCUAACUUCGUG
This 435-nucleotide ribosomal RNA is filed under the name uncultured bacterium. Its description in RNAcentral is "partial 16S ribosomal RNA". It matches the Rfam family "Bacterial small subunit ribosomal RNA", at positions 29 to 507 of the family's 1533-position model. The record is from RNAcentral.